UCUGGUUGAUCCUGCCAGAGGUUACUGCUAUCGAGGUUCGACUAAGCCAUGCGAGUCGAAUGUAGCAAUACAUGGCGAACUGCUCAGUAACACGUGGACAACCUGCCCUUAGGUUGGGUAUAAACCCGGGAAACUGGGUAUAAUCCCCUAUAAGUCUCGGCUGCUGGAAUGCACCGAGAUUAAAAGCUCCGGCGCCUAAGGAUGGGUCUGCGGCCUAUCAGGUAGUAGUGGGUGUAGCGUACCUACUAGCCUACGACGGGUACGGGUUGUGAGAGCAAGAGCCCGGAGAUGGAUUCUGAGACACGAAUCCAGGCCCUACGGGGUGCAGCAGGCGCGAAAACUUUACAAUGCUGGCAACAGCGAUAAGGGAACCUCGAGUGCCAGGUUACAAAUCUGGCUGUCGAGAUGCCUAAAAAGCAUUUCAUAGCAAGGGCCGGGCAAGACCGGUGCCAGCCGCCGCGGUAACACCGGCGGCUCGAGUGGUAACCGUUAUUAUUGGGUCUAAAGGGUCUGUAGCCGGCCGGAUAAGUCUCUUGAGAAAUCUGGCAGCUUAACUGUCAGGCUUUCAGGAGAUACUGUCUGGCUCGAGGCCGGGAGAGGUGAGAGGUACUUCAGGGGUAGGGGUGAAAUCUUGUAAUCCUUGAAGGACCACCAGUGGCGAAGGCGUCUCACCAGAACGGACCUGACGGCAAGGGACGAAAGCUAGGGGCACGAACCGGAUUAGAUACCCGGGUAGUCCUAGCCGUAAACGAUACUCGCUAGGUGUCGGCCACGGUGCGACCGUUGUCGGUGCCGUAGGGAAGCCGUGAAGCGAGCCACCUGGGAAGUACGGCCGCAAGGCUGAAACUUAAAAGGAAUUGGCGGGGGAGCACCACAACGGGUGGAGCUUGCGGUUUAAUUGGAUUCAACGCCGGA
This 915-nucleotide ribosomal RNA is filed under the name uncultured archaeon. RNAcentral describes it as "bacterial SSU rRNA". It matches the Rfam family "Archaeal small subunit ribosomal RNA", at positions 1 to 922 of the family's 1478-position model. The record is from RNAcentral.